Molecule: transfer RNA, 65 nt
Filed under: Eutrema salsugineum
Lineage: Eukaryota; Viridiplantae; Streptophyta; Magnoliopsida; Brassicales; Brassicaceae
Rfam family: tRNA
About the family: Transfer RNA (tRNA) molecules are approximately 80 nucleotides in length. Their secondary structure includes four short double-helical elements and three loops (D, anti-codon, and T loops).
Source: Rfam by way of RNAcentral
GCUGUAGUUUAGUGGUGAGAAUUCCACGUUGUGGCCGUGGAGACCUGGGCUCGAAUACCAGCAGC